AUUGAACGCUGGCGGCAUGCUUUACACAUGCAAGUCGAACGGUAACAGGGUGCUUGCACCGCUGACGAGUGGCGAACGGGUGAGUAAUGCGUCGGAACGUGCCGAGUAGUGGGGGAUAACGCAGCGAAAGUUGUGCUAAUACCGCAUACGUACUGAGGUAGAAAGUGGGGGACCUUCGGGCCUCACGCUAUUCGAGCGGCCGACGUCAGAUUAGGUAGUUGGUGGGGUAAAGGCCCACCAAGCCAACGAUCUGUAGCUGGUCUGAGAGGACGACCAGCCACACUGGGACUGCGACACGGCCCAGACUCCUACGGGAGGCAGCAGUGGGGAAUUUUGGACAAUGGGCGCAAGCCUGAUCCAGCAAUGCCGCGUGCAGGAAGAAGGCCUUCGGGUUGUAAACUGCUUUUGUACGGAACGAAAAGGUUUGGGUUAAUACCCUGGGCCGAUGACGGUACCGUAAGAAUAAGCACCGGCUAACUACGUGCCAGCAGCCGCCGUAA
RNAcentral lists this ribosomal RNA (500 nucleotides) under uncultured bacterium. Its description in RNAcentral is "partial 16S ribosomal RNA". It matches the Rfam family "Bacterial small subunit ribosomal RNA", at positions 30 to 523 of the family's 1533-position model. The record is from RNAcentral.